UGGGGAAUAUUGCACAAUGGGCGAAAGCCUGAUGCAGCAACGCCGCGUGAGUGAUGAAGGCCUUCGGGUUGUAAAGCUCUGUCUUUUGGGACGAUAAUGACGGUACCAAAGGAGGAAGCCACGGCUAACUACGUGCCAGCAGCCGCGGUAAUACGUAGGUGGCAAGCGUUGUCCGGAUUUACUGGGCGUAAAGGAUGCGUAGGCGGAUUUUUAAGUGAGAUGUGAAAACCCUAAGCUUAACUUGGGGACUGCAUUUCAUACUGGAAAUCUAGAGUGCGGGAGAGGAGAAUGGAAUUCCUAGUGUAGCGGUGAAAUGCGUAGAGAUUAGGAAGAACACCAGUGGCGAAGGCGAUUCUCUGGACCGUAACUGACGCUGAGGCAUGAAAGCGUGGGCAGCAAACAGGAUUAGAUACCCUGGUAGUCCACGCCGUAAACGAUGAGUACUAGGUGUAGGAGGUAUCGACCCCUUCUGUGCCGCAGUUAACACAAUAAGUACUCCGCCUGGGAAGUACGAUCGCAAGAUUAAAAACUC
Molecule: ribosomal RNA, 532 nt
Filed under: uncultured bacterium
Lineage: Bacteria
Description: partial 16S ribosomal RNA
Rfam family: Bacterial small subunit ribosomal RNA
Source: RNAcentral